This 286-nucleotide signal recognition particle RNA is filed under the name Octodon degus (degu). RNAcentral's name for it is "Metazoan signal recognition particle RNA (ENSODEG00000025839.1)". It matches the Rfam family "Metazoan signal recognition particle RNA". From Rfam's summary of the family: The signal recognition particle (SRP) is a universally conserved ribonucleoprotein. It is involved in the co-translational targeting of proteins to membranes. The eukaryotic SRP consists of a 300-nucleotide 7S RNA and six proteins: SRPs 72, 68, 54, 19, 14, and 9. Lineage: Eukaryota; Metazoa; Chordata; Mammalia; Rodentia; Octodontidae. The record is from RNAcentral.
GCCAGGUGUGGUGGCACAUCCUGUAGUCCCAGCUACUUGUGAGGCUGAGGAAGGAGGAUUGCUUGAGUCCAGGAGUUCCAGGCUGCAGUGUGCUAUGCUGACUGGGUGUUGCACUAAGUUCGGCAUCAAUAUGGUGACCUCCUGGGAGUGGGGGACCACUAGGUUGCCUAAGGAGGGGUGAACCAGCCCAUGUUAGAAACAGGGCGGGUCAAAACUCCCGUGCUGAUCAGAAGAGGGUAGCAUUUAUAAAUCUUUUUGUAAAUCUUUCACAGGCCAGCAAAACCCC